CCUACGGGGGACAGCAGUGAGGAAUAUUGGUCAAUGGACGAGAGUCUGAACCAGCCAAGUAGCGUGAAGGAUGACUGCCCUAUGGGUUGUAAACUUCUUUUAUAUGGGAAUAAAAUGUUCCACGUGUGGGAUUUUGUAUGUACCAUAUGAAUAAGGAUCGGCUAACUCCGUGCCAGCAGCCGCGGUAAUACGGAGGAUCCGAGCGUUAUCCGGAUUUAUUGGGUUUAAAGGGAGCGUAGGUGGAUUGUUAAGUCAGUUGUGAAAGUUUGCGGCUCAACCGUAAAAUUGCAGUUGAAACUGGCAGUCUGGAGUACAGUAGAGGUGGGCGGAAUUCGUGGUGUAGCGGUGAAAUGCUUAGAUAUCACGAAGAACUCCGAUUGCGAAGGCAGCUCACUGGACUGCAACUGACACUGAGGCGCGAAAGUGUGGGUAUCAAACAGGAUUAGAUACCCCAGUAGUC
Molecule: ribosomal RNA, 460 nt
Filed under: uncultured bacterium
Lineage: Bacteria
Description: partial 16S ribosomal RNA
Rfam family: Bacterial small subunit ribosomal RNA
Source: RNAcentral